AGAGGUGGGAUAAGGGAUAAGAAUUGAUCUUCGGAAGAUCAACCGAGCAGAGAAUAUCGAAGGUCAAGCUCGUUUUAAAUAGCGUACUGGCGCUUUUCUAAACGGUCUUCGAUUGAAGAAGCAUUAUUGAACUGCAAUUUAAAUAGUAUUGCAAAAUAGUUACCUGCUUUGAAACCAGCAGAAAAAAAACAUUGACGGUUUCCAAGGACAAAUACUCACUGCUCGGUUCCGAUUGAGGGCAUCUGUUUCGGGGUGGUAGAUUGACUAUACGAGUGAUGGAGUGGAUAAGGAGAUUCAUAGCCUGGAUAAAAUACUGGUAUUUCCAGUGGGAGUUAGCCAGCAUGCUGGUAGUGAUGGACCCGAUAGAAAAAUACUUCUUUCAUGCCUUUACAUUGAUAUUACUCGCUGUUGUGAUAUAUUCAACUGUGUCCCUCAUAUCCGGGAUCAUGCCCUAUCUGUCAAUAUCCGUCCAGAAAUAUUUAACAACAUAGGAAACCAUCAGUGAAUAAGUAAUAAACGUCUGCCCUAAAAGUAUGGGGGUACGGGAAACAGCAAACACGCCACAAAUGUUACCUCUGACAGAGUUCGGGGUUACAGUGAACUACAUGUACAUCGAGGUCAGACCUUUGAGAAGAUAAUUAUGUGUAUCCCCGAAAAAUCACACCAGCUUCAGUGUUCAACGAUAAACGUAGAAACAUUCAUUGUUUACUCUCAGAUGUUUGUAUUUCAUUUUAUAAUGGACCUAUCAUCUUCAAUGUUUUGUGUACAAUGGACUAAACCAAUGCUUGCAAUAUUACUCAUAUCUGCUUUCUGUAUUGACUGUCCAUGCAUUGCUUUUCGAUGGUGCCCACAUUUUGUCUUCAUUCAUAAUAAAUGUUUUUAUUGUGGACUCCGAUUGCAAAAUAUUCUUUCAUGGGCCCACUUUUCUGUUCAGUGUCCUGUUAUCACCGUUUUCUUUUAAAGACGGUACACAUCAUGAAGUAUUUUACAAUCUUAGGACACUGCACUUCCUCUCCAUUGUGAUUUGUAGAAAAUGCAUGAUGUGAAAAUUCUAAUUUGUUUCAUUGGUUGAAAUUUUGUUCAACGCAAGGGAGAUAAUUUGCUGGUGAUCUGAAUUCAAUAAAUAACAGAAAUAGUCUUCUUUGUACGCAAACCUCAAAAUUCUUCUCGAAAAAAUUUGAGCAAUUCAAAGCUAUUUAGUAUAUUUUGUUUCUUGCUGUGUGAAAAGUAAAUAUCAUUUUAUUAAUCACACUGAA
Ostrea edulis (European flat oyster) is the source of this 1256-nucleotide long non-coding RNA. RefSeq lists it as uncharacterized. The transcript has 2 exons. NCBI's taxonomy places the organism in Eukaryota, Metazoa, Mollusca, Bivalvia, Ostreida, Ostreidae. The record is from RefSeq and is a predicted model, not a curated record.